AUUGAACGCUGGCGGAAUGCUUUACACAUGCAAGUCGAACGGUAGAGGGGGCAACCCCUUGAGAGUGGCGAACGGGUGAGUAAUAUAUCGGAACGUGCCCAGUCGUGGGGAUAACGUAGCGAAAGUUACGCUAAUACCGCAUACGAUCUAAGGAUGAAAGCGGGGGACUCGCAAGAGCCUCGCGCGAUUGGAGCGGCCGAUAUCAGAUUAGGUAGUUGGUGGGGUAAGGGCUCACCAAGCCAACGAUCUGUAGCUGGUCUGAGAGGACGACCAGCCACACUGGAACUGAGACACGGUCCAGACUCCUACGGGAGGCAGCAGUGGGGAAUUUUUGGACAAUGGACGCAAGUCUGAUCCAGCCAUUCCGCGUGCAGGAUGAAGGCCCUCGGGUUGUAAACUGCUUUUGUACGGAACGAAAAGGUUUCUAUUAAUACUAGGAGCUCAUGACGGUACCGUAAGAAUAAGCACCGGCUAACUACGUGCCAGCAGCCGCGGUAAUGUG
Molecule: ribosomal RNA, 502 nt
Filed under: uncultured bacterium
Lineage: Bacteria
Description: bacterial SSU rRNA
Rfam family: Bacterial small subunit ribosomal RNA
Source: RNAcentral